Xylariales sp. No.14919 is the source of this 72-nucleotide non-coding RNA. NCBI's taxonomy places the organism in Eukaryota, Fungi, Ascomycota, Sordariomycetes, Xylariales. The record is from the annotation of a GenBank genome assembly.
GCCUCUAUGGCACAGGGGUAAUGCGUGUCACUCGUAAUGACAAGAUCCGCGGUUCGAUUCCGCGUGGAGGCA